GAUGUUAGCGGCGGACGGGUGAGUAACACGUGGAUAACCUACCUAUAAGACUGGGAUAACUUCGGGAAACCGGAGCUAAUACCGGAUAAUAUUUUGAACCGCAUGGUUCAAAAGUGAAAGACGGUCUUGCUGUCACUUAUAGAUGGAUCCGCGCUGCAUUAGCUAGUUGGUAAGGUAACGGCUUACCAAGGCAACGAUGCAUAGCCGACCUGAGAGGGUGAUCGGCCACACUGGAACUGAGACACGGUCCAGACUCCUACGGGAGGCAGCAGUAGGGAAUCUUCCGCAAUGGGCGAAAGCCUGACGGAGCAACGCCGCGUGAGUGAUGAAGGUCUUCGGAUCGUAAAACUCUGUUAUUAGGGAAGAACAUAUGUGUAAGUAACUGUGCACAUCUUGACGGUACCUAAUCAGAAAGCCACGGCUAACUACGUGCCAGCAGCCGCGGUAAUACGUAGGUGGCAAGCGUUAUCCGGAAUUAUUGGGCGUAAAGCGCGCGUAGGCGGUUUUUUAAGUCUGAUGUGAAAGCCCACGGCUCAACCGUGGAGGGUCAUUGGAAACUGGAAAACUUGAGUGCAGAAGAGGAAAGUGGAAUUCCAUGUGUAGCGGUGAAAUGCGCAGAGAUAUGGAGGAACACCAGUGGCGAAGGCGACUUUCUGGUCUGUAACUGACGCUGAUGUGCGAAAGCGUGGGGAUCAAACAGGAUUAGAUACCCUGGUAGUCCACGCCGUAAACGAUGAGUGCUAAGUGUUAGGGGGUUUCCGCCCCUUAGUGCUGCAGCUAACGCAUUAAGCACUCCGCCUGGGGAGUACGACCGCAAGGUUGAAACUCAAAGGAAUUGACGGGGACCCGCACAAGCGGUGGAGCAUGUGGUUUAAUUCGAAGCAACGCGAAGAACCUUACCAAAUCUUGACAUCCUUUGACAACUCUAGAGAUAGAGCCUUCCCCUUCGGGGGACAAAGUGACAGGUGGUGCAUGGUUGUCGUCAGCUCGUGUCGUGAGAUGUUGGGUUAAGUCCCGCAACGAGCGCAACCCUUAAGCUUAGUUGCCAUCAUUAAGUUGGGCACUCUAAGUUGACUGCCGGUGACAAACCGGAGGAAGGUGGGGAUGACGUCAAAUCAUCAUGCCCCUUAUGAUUUGGGCUACACACGUGC
This 1151-nucleotide ribosomal RNA is filed under the name Staphylococcus aureus. Its description in RNAcentral is "bacterial SSU rRNA". It matches the Rfam family "Bacterial small subunit ribosomal RNA", at positions 88 to 1225 of the family's 1533-position model. Lineage: Bacteria; Bacillati; Bacillota; Bacilli; Caryophanales; Staphylococcaceae. The record is from RNAcentral.